This 234-nucleotide ribosomal RNA is filed under the name Triticum aestivum (bread wheat). Its description in RNAcentral is "partial small subunit ribosomal RNA". Lineage: Eukaryota; Viridiplantae; Streptophyta; Magnoliopsida; Poales; Poaceae. The record is from RNAcentral.
CAAGAGACCCGACAACUCUCCCCCGAGGAGAGUGACCUUAGGGCGAGGCUUAAAAGGAGUGUCAUUAGCUUGGCAGUGCUUGAGAGAUCUCGGAAAAAGCAAAGUGCGAGAAUUGCUAACCUCAAGGAGGGUGAUGCCAACACCAAGUUCUUCCAUCACCGGAUUAAUGCUAGAAGGAGGAAAAAUCACAUUCAUAGGCUAAAGCAUGACCAAGGGUGGAUCACCGAGCAUGAA